UCCCUGGUGGCUCAGAGGGUAAAGCGUCUGCCUGCAAUGCAGGAGACCUGGGUUCGUUCCCUGGGUCGGGAA
This is a transfer RNA of Ovis aries (sheep), 72 nucleotides long. It matches the Rfam family "tRNA". From Rfam's summary of the family: Transfer RNA (tRNA) molecules are approximately 80 nucleotides in length. The record is from Rfam. Lineage: Eukaryota; Metazoa; Chordata; Mammalia; Artiodactyla; Bovidae.